UAAUACGUAGGGGGCAAGCGUUGUCCGGAAUCAUUGGGCGUAAAGAGCGUGUAGGCGGCCUGAUAAGUCGGUUGUGAAAGUCAAGGGCUCAACCCUUGAAUGCCGACCGAUACUGUCAGGCUAGAGUCCGGAAGAGGCGAGUGGAAUUCCUGGUGUAGCGGUGAAAUGCGCAGAUAUCAGGAGGAACACCAAUGGCGAAGGCAGCUCGCUGGGACGGUACUGACGCUGAGACGCGAAAGCGUGGGGAGCGAACAGGAUUAGAUACCCUGGUAGUCCACGCCGUAAACGAUGGGCGCUAGGUGUGGGGGGUGUCGACUCCCUCCGUGCCGAAGCUAACGCAUUAAGCGCCCCGCCUGGGGAGUACGGCCGCAAGGCUA
RNAcentral lists this ribosomal RNA (377 nucleotides) under uncultured bacterium. Its description in RNAcentral is "bacterial SSU rRNA". It matches the Rfam family "Bacterial small subunit ribosomal RNA", at positions 521 to 896 of the family's 1533-position model. The record is from RNAcentral.